Molecule: long non-coding RNA, 369 nt
Filed under: Cottoperca gobio
Lineage: Eukaryota; Metazoa; Chordata; Actinopteri; Perciformes; Bovichtidae
Description: lncRNA (ENSCGOG00000019960.1)
Source: RNAcentral
AACAAGUCCUGACUUCAGUGGAGUUGGGGGUCCGAGUCCCAGGUCUGUACGAUUGAUCCUAAUCAUUAAACUCCUAGGUGUUAAAUGCAAACAAUUGAUCGUAACAAAUGUUAUAUUCUUUGUAGCUCCUAAUGGGAGGGGAAGAGGACUCAUCAUAGAACCUGAAAAUCAAGGUGGCAACCAGGACACAAUCGGCGCAGCUGUCGGGGUGGUGGGAUGUGUGGUUUUGACAGUGUUGGUUGCAUUGUUUGUUGUGAACAGAAGAAGAACAAGAAGCCGGCUGCCGGAUGAGUCUUUUCACACCAUCAGUACCAACAAUGUUAUAAAUGCAGACGAUGUGAUCUACGCUGAAAUUAUUCUUCCCGUUGG